Molecule: ribosomal RNA, 253 nt
Filed under: uncultured bacterium
Lineage: Bacteria
Description: partial 16S ribosomal RNA
Rfam family: Bacterial small subunit ribosomal RNA
Source: RNAcentral
UACGUAGGGUGCGAGCGUUAAUCGGAAUUACUGGGCGUAAAGCGUGCGUAGGCGGUUGCAUAAGUUUGAUGUGAAAGCCCCGGGCUUAACCUGGGAAUGGCAUUGAGGACUGUGUGGCUUGAGUGCGGCAGAGGGAGGUGGAAUUCCACGUGUAGCAGUGAAAUGCGUAGAGAUGUGGAGGAACACCGAUGGCGAAGGCAGCCCCCUGGGUCGACACUGACGCUCAUGCACGAAAGCGUGGGGAGCAAACAGG